AACACAUGCAAGUCGAACGCGAAGGGACUUCGGUCCUGAGUAAAGUGGCGCACGGGUGAGUAACGCGUAGAUAACCUGUCUUCAUGUCUGGAAUAAUACGCCGAAAGGGGUACUAAUACCGGAUAUUCUUGCUUUUCAUAAGUUAUGCAAGCAAAGGUGGCCUCUGCAUAUGCUACUGCAUGAAGAGGGGUCUGCGUACCAUUAGCUAGUAGGUGGGGUAAUGGCCUACCUAGGCGACGAUGGUUAGCGGGUCUGAGAGGAUGAUCCGCCACACUGGCACUGGAACACGGGCCAGACUCCUACGGGAGGCAGCAGUGAGGAAUAAUUGCGCAAUGGGGGAAACCCUGACGCAGCGACGCCGCGUGAGUGAAGGAAGGCCUUCGGGUCGUAAAGCUCUGUCAAGAGGAAAGAAGUGUACAAUGGCUAAUACCUGUUGUAUUUGACGGUACCUCUAAAGGAAGCACCGGCUAACUCCGUGCCAGCCGCAGC
This 489-nucleotide ribosomal RNA is filed under the name uncultured bacterium. RNAcentral describes it as "bacterial SSU rRNA". It matches the Rfam family "Bacterial small subunit ribosomal RNA", at positions 50 to 518 of the family's 1533-position model. The record is from RNAcentral.